AUUGAACGCUGGCGGCAGGCCUAACACAUGCAAGUCGAACGAGUGGCGGACGGGUGAGUAAUGUCUGGGAAACUGCCCGAUGGAGGGGGAUAACUACUGGCAACGGUAGCUAAUACCGCAUACCAUCGGAUGUGCCCAGAUGGGAUUAGCUAGUAGGUGGGGUAAAGGCUCACCUAGGAGACGAUCCCUAGCUGGUCUGAGAGGAUGACCAGCCACACUGGAAAUGAGACACGGUCCAGACUCCGACGUGAGUCAGCAGUGGGGAAUAUUGCACAAUGGGGGCAAGCCUGAUGCAUCCAUGCCGCGUGUAUGAAGAAGGCCGUCGGGUUGUAAAGUACUUUCAGCGAGGAGGCGUUGCUCGCAGAAGAAGCACCGGCUAACUCCGGGCCAGCAGCCGCGGUAAUAC
This 406-nucleotide ribosomal RNA is filed under the name uncultured bacterium. RNAcentral describes it as "partial 16S ribosomal RNA". It matches the Rfam family "Bacterial small subunit ribosomal RNA", at positions 30 to 526 of the family's 1533-position model. The record is from RNAcentral.